RNAcentral lists this ribosomal RNA (207 nucleotides) under uncultured bacterium. Its description in RNAcentral is "partial 16S ribosomal RNA". It matches the Rfam family "Bacterial small subunit ribosomal RNA", at positions 568 to 774 of the family's 1533-position model. The record is from RNAcentral.
CGUGUAGGCGGCCAUGUAGGUCCGGUGUGAAAACUCGAGGCUUAACCUCGAGAUGUCAUCGGAAACCAUUUGGCUAGAGUCCGGAAGAGGAGAGUGGAAUUCCUGGUGUAGCGGUGAAAUGCGCAGAUAUCAGGAAGAACACCAAUGGCGAAAGCAGCUCUCUGGGACGGUACUGACGCUGAGACGCGAAAGCGUGGGGAGCGAACA